RNAcentral lists this long non-coding RNA (1169 nucleotides) under Phasianus colchicus (ring-necked pheasant). RNAcentral's name for it is "lncRNA (ENSPCLG00000013623.1)". Lineage: Eukaryota; Metazoa; Chordata; Aves; Galliformes; Phasianidae. The record is from RNAcentral.
ACCAUGACUUGUUCUCUGGUUUGAUCUCGUGCAGGAUCUUCUUGCAAUGUGUGUGACAAAAUAUACAUAUAUACACCUAUAUACAGAGCGUGCAUUCCUGGGAAAAAUUCGUCUGGAGGAUAAGUGAUGUAAACUAUCAGAGAUCUUCCCCAAGUUAAGUAGAAGGACCCCCAAAAAGAACUAUGACAGCAGAGAUCAUGAAAUUUUAAAAAAAUAUUAUCCAAUUCUAAUGCAGAAACAACAGUUGAUUCCCACAAAUCUACAAAGCACAUAGGACGUAAGGAAAGAAAAUCAACAUACUAACUAAUGCUUAAAUGAGACAUUCAGACAUUAACAAAUGGUAUUCUACCUGAUCUGUAUAUUAUCAAUUAUUUUUCUCCUGAGCUGUAUACACUUCAAGAUGGCAGUGGACUGUUUGGUUUUCAUGAGUUCUAUUGAAGAAGGAUAUUCCAGCCAGAAUUUGGUGACGAGGAGGCUAGAGGCUGCGACACCAUGUGCACAGUGGGAAUUUUCAGCAGAUGAAACAGCUGAAAAGAAGAACCUGGAAAUUUAUCUCAACCAUCCCUAUUCCAUUCAAUGGGACUGCAGGGAUUGUAGCCCUGGACAAAGUUCAUCACCAGAUUUCAUCAUUUGGAAUGAAUACUCCAUAGUACUUUGAUUGAAGUGCAACGUGGAAUCAUAGAGUCAUAGAAUUACUCAGGUUGGAAAAGACCUUCAAGAUAAUCAAGUCCAACAGCAACCUAAUUAUACUACCCUAACUCUAACAACUCACCCACACUAAAUCAUGUCCCUGAACUCCAUACAGAAGAAUUGGUUACAUCUUCUUUCAUUUGAACAGUCAUAGGCAUUUGUUAUUUUUUGUGUGUGUUCUCCUUGAUUUUUUCUCCCCUUGCUUUCCCCUGUUUCCAUUCCGUCCCACCAUUUCCCUCCCUUCCCCUUCCAAGACUGAUUUCUAGUACUAGUACUGUUCAGCACUUUUAGAAAUUAUCUGGAUUCAGGAUUGGAGUGCAUCCUCGUCAAGUUUGUCAAUGACAGUAAACUGGGGAGUACUGCUGACUCUCUCAGGGGAUGAGAAGCCUUGCAGAGGGAUCUCAGUGCACUGGAGCACUGAACAGUCAGCAAUGGCAUGAAGUUCAAUAAAGAAAAUGUUCAGUGCUGUAAUUGGGACA